RNAcentral lists this ribosomal RNA (503 nucleotides) under uncultured bacterium. RNAcentral describes it as "partial 16S ribosomal RNA". It matches the Rfam family "Bacterial small subunit ribosomal RNA", at positions 355 to 869 of the family's 1533-position model. The record is from RNAcentral.
UGGGGAAUAUUGCACAAUGGGCGAAAGCCUGAUGCAGCAACGCCGCGUGAGUGAUGAAGGUCUUCGGAUUGUAAAGCUCUGUCUUUUGGGACGAUAAUGACGGUACCAAAGGAGGAAGCCACGGCUAACUACGUGCCAGCAGCCGCGGUAAUACGUAGGUGGCGAGCGUUGUCCGGAUUUACUGGGCGUAAAGGGUGCGUAGGCGGAUGUUUAAGUGAGAUGUGAAAUACCCGGGCUUAACUUGGGUGCUGCAUUUCAAACUGGAUAUCUAGAGUGCAGGAGAGGAGAAUGGAAUUCCUAGUGUAGCGGUGAAAAUGCGUAGAGAUUAGGAAGAACACCAGUGGCGAAGGCGAUUCUCUGGACUGUAACUGACGCUGAGGCACGAAAAGCGUGGGUAGCAAACAGGAUUAGAUACCCUGGUAGUCCACGCCGUAAAACGAUGAGUACUAGGUGUAGGAGGUAUCGACCCCUUCUGUGCCGCAGUAAAACACAUUAAAGUACUC